RNAcentral lists this ribosomal RNA (254 nucleotides) under uncultured bacterium. RNAcentral's name for it is "partial 16S ribosomal RNA". It matches the Rfam family "Bacterial small subunit ribosomal RNA", at positions 524 to 776 of the family's 1533-position model. The record is from RNAcentral.
UACGUAGGGUGCAAGCGUUGUCCGGAAUUAUUGGGCGUAAAGGGCUCGUAGGCGGUUUGUCGCGUCGGGAGUGAAAUCCACUGGCUUAACUGGUGGCUUGCUUUCGAUACGGGCAGACUGGAGGUAUGCAGGGGAGAACGGAAUUCCUGGUGUAGCGGUAGAAAUGCGCAGAUAUCAGGAGGAACACCGGUGGCGAAGGCGGUUCUCUGGGCAUGUCCUGACGCUGAGGAGCGAAAGUGUGGGGAGCGAACAGG